GAGAGAGGGAAAAAUGAUCUACAGAAAAUGGAGUCUGCUUACUGGCCCGACCUCGCUCAUCGCCGGAGUAAUCGCCACCGUUGUUGUCGCCGAUCUCAUUUUCGUUGAUAACAGUAUAAAAUAAUGUGAGAAGAGGGAAAUUCAAGAAAGGGUUGUAACCAUCUUGAAGUACUUUCAGGGUUGGUUGCGCAAGGGAGAUGAAAAGAAGCAAGAACCAGCAAAUAAAACCAAGUAGAAGCAGAAAGGAUGCACAUUCUAAUCGCUGUGUUCCUUUGUUUUGUCAAAAAUGCAAUGUUGAAUAAAUAGACCUUGUUCGUUACAAAAUUCAGUUUUUGUGCGUAAAUCCUUUGUUUUCACUAACAA
Molecule: long non-coding RNA, 363 nt
Organism: Salvia splendens (bonfire salvia)
Lineage: Eukaryota; Viridiplantae; Streptophyta; Magnoliopsida; Lamiales; Lamiaceae
Exons: 3
Source: RefSeq, a predicted model, not a curated record